CCUACGGGAGGCAGCAGUGGGGAAUAUUGGACAAUGGGCGAAAGCCUGAUCCAGCCAUGCCGCGUGUGUGAAGAAGGCCUUCGGGUUGUAAAGCACUUUCAGUGGGGAAGAAAGCCUUGGGGCUAAUACCCUCGAGGAAGGACAUCACCCACAGAAGGAGCACCGGCUAACUCCGUGCCAGCAGCCGCGGUAAUACGGAGGGUGCGAGCGUUAAUCGGAAUUACUGGGCGUAAAGCGCGCGUAGGCGGUCUGAUAAGCCGGUUGUGAAAGCCCCGGGCUCAACCUGGGAACGGCAUCCGGAACUGUCCGGCUAGAGUGCAGGAGAGGAAGGUAGAAUUCCCGGUGUAGCGGUGAAAUGCGUAGAGAUCGGGAGGAAUACCAGUGGCGAAGGCGGCCUUCUGGACUGACACUGACGCUGAGGUGCGAAAGCGUGGGUAGCAAACAGGAUUAGAUACCCCUGUAGUC
RNAcentral lists this ribosomal RNA (465 nucleotides) under Vreelandella stevensii. Its description in RNAcentral is "partial 16S ribosomal RNA". It matches the Rfam family "Bacterial small subunit ribosomal RNA", at positions 338 to 795 of the family's 1533-position model. Lineage: Bacteria; Pseudomonadati; Pseudomonadota; Gammaproteobacteria; Oceanospirillales; Halomonadaceae. The record is from RNAcentral.